UACGUAGGGGGCAAGCGUUGUCCGGAUUUAUUGGGCGUAAAGAGCUCGUAGGCGGUCUGUCGCGUCUGCUGUGAAAACUCGGGGCUUAACUCCGGGCCUGCAGUGGGUACGGGCAGACUAGAGUGCGGUAGGGGAGACUGGAAUUCCUGGUGUAGCGGUGAAAUGCGCAGAUAUCAGGAGGAACACCGGUGGCGAAGGCGGGUCUCUGGGCCGUAACUGACGCUGAGGAGCGAAAGCGUGGGGAGCGAACAGG
This 253-nucleotide ribosomal RNA is filed under the name uncultured bacterium. RNAcentral's name for it is "partial 16S ribosomal RNA". It matches the Rfam family "Bacterial small subunit ribosomal RNA", at positions 524 to 776 of the family's 1533-position model. The record is from RNAcentral.